CGCCCGAAGCCGAUUAUCUAACCUUUUGGAAGAAGUCGUCGAAGGUGGAAUCAAUAACUGGGGUGAAGUCGUAACAAGGUAGCCGUAUCGGAAGGUGCGGCUGGAUCUCCUCCUUUCUAAGGAGA
RNAcentral lists this ribosomal RNA (125 nucleotides) under Clostridioides difficile. RNAcentral describes it as "partial 16S ribosomal RNA". It matches the Rfam family "Bacterial small subunit ribosomal RNA", at positions 1418 to 1533 of the family's 1533-position model. Lineage: Bacteria; Bacillati; Bacillota; Clostridia; Peptostreptococcales; Peptostreptococcaceae. The record is from RNAcentral.